RNAcentral lists this transfer RNA (65 nucleotides) under Blasticotoma sp. 'minuta'. RNAcentral describes it as "tRNA-Cys". The record is from RNAcentral. Lineage: Eukaryota; Metazoa; Arthropoda; Insecta; Hymenoptera; Blasticotomidae.
AGUUUUAUAGUUAAAUUGAUAACAGUAGAUUGCAAAUUUAAAAUUAUGAGGUUUCAUUAAAAUUU